AUUCCUUCCUUUGCUGCACCUGGGCUAAAAGCAUGGGCAUGACAGUAUUUCCAGCAGAAACGAACCCAGCUCUGUGUCAGCUCUGCAGUGUGAACCACUAGAUGGCAAGGUGACCCCAGCAAGACAAAACGAGCUCGGCAGGAUUGUGAGACACUGAGUGCUGCAGGAAGGAAGCAUUUCUGCCCCUCCUUCCUCCCCAGCUGUUGUAACAUCAGUCUGCUGCAAACGUGGCUUUGGCAGGACCAGUUUGGGCCCUGCCCAGGAUCGUGCUCACUGAGUCAUCAUAGUAUCCCCUGGCUCUCACGUGGUAAUCAUUAAAGCCAUACAGCACCCCAGUGCCAUGGGAAUGCUUUGAGUGAUUCUGAGAAAGGCAUUGGGAAGAGUGGGGUGGAGAGCAUCUUUAGCACUGUAAUGAGAAACAUUUGUACAAGUCAGCUUUGGGACUUAGCCAGGGCAUGUAUUUCCCUUCCCAGCCUAGAUUCUCUGCUCUGCUCUGUUUCAGUCUUACGCUGUUUGCCCACACCCCAGCAGGCUGUGUCACACAAGGGCAGCAAGUCUCAUGUAGCCUGUCAAAAUGUCCCAUACCUUGCGAGGUGAGUGGGGCAAGCUGCUGCCUCUGCAGGGCUCACAGGGGGCUUGUGUUGCCCGUCGGAUGCUGCCCAUGGCGGCAGGGCUUUGCCAGCCUGCGCAGGAAUUCAUGGUUUCAGCUGUACACAGAACUUCAGGUGUGCCCUGGCUCACUGCAUCCCUACAGUGCCAGCACAUGCACUGUUUAGGGUUUUGGGCUAGACCUGCACCUCUAAUCUGCUCUUUUACUCUUUGAGGUGCCAGUUAGGCUGGUAGGGAAAGUCAGGUGACAAGUUUCCCACAUGAUAUAAGGAGCUGUGCAGAAAAAAGCCCGUCAUUGGUGCUGAGCUGGGAAGGGCAGUGGGCUGAGGGCUCUCAGGAGUAGCCCACUCUGCCUUUGGGGAGUGGGAGAUGGUGUCACCUCACCUACCCUGGGGUUUGUGCUCCACUCUCACCC
Non-coding RNA from Sturnus vulgaris (Common starling), 1024 nucleotides. Lineage: Eukaryota; Metazoa; Chordata; Aves; Passeriformes; Sturnidae. The record is from RefSeq and is a predicted model, not a curated record.